Non-coding RNA from Hordeum vulgare subsp. vulgare (domesticated barley), 125 nucleotides. The record is from Rfam. Lineage: Eukaryota; Viridiplantae; Streptophyta; Magnoliopsida; Poales; Poaceae.
CACGUACUCCCUCCGUCCGGAAUUACUUGUCGCAGAAAUGGAUAGAACCGGAUGUAUCUAAAACUAAAAUACAUCUAGAUACAUCCAUUCCUCGGACAAGUAUUACCGGACGGAGGGAGUAUUAA